Molecule: ribosomal RNA, 444 nt
Filed under: uncultured bacterium
Lineage: Bacteria
Description: partial 16S ribosomal RNA
Rfam family: Bacterial small subunit ribosomal RNA
Source: RNAcentral
CUACGAGCGGCUGCAGUGGGGAAUAUUGCACAAUGGGCGCAAGCCUGAUGCAGCAACGCCGCGUGAGGGAUGAAGGCCUUCGGGUUGUAAACCUCUUUUAGCAGGGAAGAAGCGAAAGUGACGGUACCUGCAGAAAAAGCACCGGCUAACUACGUGUCAGCAGCCGCGGUAAUACGUAGGGUGCAAGCGUUGUCCGGAAUUAUUGGGCGUAAAGAGCUCGUAGGCGGUUUGUCACGUCUGCUGUGAAAAUCCAAGGCUCAACCUUGGACUUGCAGUGGGUACGGGCAGGCUAGAGUGCGGUAGGGGAGAGGGGAAUUCCUGGUGUAGCGGUGGAAUGCGCAGAUAUCAGGAGGAACACCAAUGGCGAAGGCACAUCUCUGGGCCGUAACUGACGCUGAGGAGCGAAAGCGUGGGGAGCGAACAGGAUUAGAUACCCUCGUAGUC